This 224-nucleotide long non-coding RNA is filed under the name Hordeum vulgare. Its description in RNAcentral is "long non-coding RNA (HVUL_LNC006327)". The record is from RNAcentral. Lineage: Eukaryota; Viridiplantae; Streptophyta; Magnoliopsida; Poales; Poaceae.
GGGACGCCGGCGAAGCCGCGCACGCCCCAGGGAUGGCGGCGGCGGGGCCCCUCGCGUCGGCCCUCGGGCUCUGGCGGCGGCGCCUCGCGUCGGCGGUUGCGGGAUCCGCUGUGAUCUCGCCAAUCGGCGGCGGCGGAGGGCAGAUCCGGGGCUCCAUGGCCGGAUCUGGCGGGGCACUCGGCCCUGGUGGUACAGCGGCAGCCGGGCGAGGCUGCGCUGGUCGG